AGACGAAUCAUCUGGAAAGAUGAAUCAAAGAAGGUAAUAAUCCUGUAGUCGAAAAUGUUGUCUCUCUUGAGUGGAUCCUGAGUACGACGGAGCACGUGAAAUUCCGUCGGAAUCUGGGAGGACCAUCUCCUAAGGCUAAAUACUCUCUAGUGACCGAUAGUGAACCAGUACCGUGAGGGAAAGGUGAAAAGCACCCCGGAAGGGGAGUGAAAUAGAACCUGAAACCGUGUGCUUACAAGUAGUCAGAGCCCGUUAAUGGGUGAUGGCGUGCCUUUUGUAGAAUGAACCGGCGAGUUACGAUUUGAUGCAAGGUUAAGCAGUAAAUGUGGAGCCGUAGCGAAAGCGAGUCUGAAUAGGGCGUUUAGUAUUUGGUCGUAGACCCGAAACCAGGUGAUCUACCCUUGGUCAGGUUGAAGUUCAGGUAACACUGAAUGGAGGACCGAACCGACUUACGUUGAAAAGUGAGCGGAUGAACUGAGGGUAGCGGAGAAAUUCCAAUCGAACCUGGAGAUAGCUGGUUCUCUCCGAAAUAGCUUUAGGGCUAGCCUCAAGUGAUGAUUAUUGGAGGUAGAGCACUGUUUGGACGAGGGGCCCCUCUCGGGUUACCGAAUUCAGACAAACUCCGAAUGCCAAUUAAUUUAACUUGGGAGUCAGAACAUGGGUGAUAAGGUCCGUGUUCGAAAGGGAAACAGCCCAGACCACCAGCUAAGGUCCCAAAAUAUAUGUUAAGUGGAAAAGGAUGUGGCGUUGCCCAGACAACUAGGAUGUUGGCUUAGAAGCAGCCAUCAUUUAAAGAGUGCGUAAUAGCUCACUAGUCGAGUGACACUGCGCCGAAAAUGUACCGGGGCUAAACAUAUUACCGAAGCUGUGGAUUGUCCUUUGGACAAUGGUAGGAGAGCGUUCUAAGG
This 908-nucleotide ribosomal RNA is filed under the name Staphylococcus aureus. RNAcentral's name for it is "partial 23S ribosomal RNA". It matches the Rfam family "Bacterial large subunit ribosomal RNA", at positions 331 to 1246 of the family's 2925-position model. Lineage: Bacteria; Bacillati; Bacillota; Bacilli; Caryophanales; Staphylococcaceae. The record is from RNAcentral.